GCCGGAGUGGUGAAAUGGCAGACACGGGGGACUUAAAAUCCCCUCCUCGCAAGGGGGUGCGGGUUCGAGUCCCGCCUCCGGCACCA
This 86-nucleotide transfer RNA is filed under the name Chloroflexota bacterium. RNAcentral's name for it is "Chloroflexi bacterium tRNA-Leu". It matches the Rfam family "tRNA". From Rfam's summary of the family: Transfer RNA (tRNA) molecules are approximately 80 nucleotides in length. Their secondary structure includes four short double-helical elements and three loops (D, anti-codon, and T loops). The record is from RNAcentral. Lineage: Bacteria; Bacillati; Chloroflexota.